AUACGUAGGUGGCAAGCGUUGUCCGGAUUUACUGGGCGUAAAGGGAGCGUAGGUGGAUAUUUAAGUGGGAUGUGAAAUACCUGAGCUUAACUUGGGUGCUGCAUUCCAAACUGGAUAUCUAGAGUGCAGGAGAGGAAAGUGGAAUUCCUAGUGUAGCGGUGAAAUGCGUAGAGAUUAGGAAGAACACCAGUGGCGAAGGCGACUUUCUGGACUGUAACUGACACUGAGGCUCGAAAGCGUGGGGAGCAAACAGGAUUAGAUCCCCUGGUAGUCCACGCCGUAAACGAUGGAUACUAGGUGUGGGGGUUUCAACACCUCCGUGCCGCCGUUAACACAAUAAGUAUCCCGCCUGGGGAGUACGGUCGCAAGAUUAA
This 374-nucleotide ribosomal RNA is filed under the name uncultured bacterium. Its description in RNAcentral is "bacterial SSU rRNA". It matches the Rfam family "Bacterial small subunit ribosomal RNA", at positions 523 to 897 of the family's 1533-position model. The record is from RNAcentral.